Long non-coding RNA from Nicotiana tabacum (common tobacco), 868 nucleotides. RefSeq lists it as uncharacterized. Lineage: Eukaryota; Viridiplantae; Streptophyta; Magnoliopsida; Solanales; Solanaceae. The record is from RefSeq and is a predicted model, not a curated record.
UGACAUGUAAAAUGGGUCACCGGCUUAGAUGAUACUUUGUGCAGCUUUUUACUUCCUUUUUUUACGGUUAUAACACAUAGAAGUUCCAUUUUUCCCGCCUAUUGGAGCUCCUCCGAAGCCUUUUGAUUAUCAUUUGGUUAUUAUUCAAGCCAGUAUUGGUGGUUUGGUGUUGCUCCUUGUGUUAAUUGCAAAAGCAAGACAUACAAAUUAAAGUCCAUGUUUAGCUGAAUAUUAUACAAGGGCUACUUUGGUCUUCUCCAAAAUUUUACUGAAAGCUAGAGCAACUUGACCGGUGGUGGCAAUAUAAGAACUCCCCGGUACAUACAUACCAGCAAUUAAUCUGCCUUCCGCCUGCUUCUGUUCAUCUUCUUUCUUUCUCCACUUCAUCUUCAGAUUUCUUUUUAUGUUAAGUUUACCGAUUUUGCUGCUACUUCCGACAUCACCGAUUAUUGAAGGUCUUUGUGCAGGUAUAUCAACUAACCAUUCUUUCAGCUGGUUUGAUCAAAAGUUGCGCUACCAAUUAUAUCCUCUGGCUUUACAACAUCGCAAAGCCCUUGGGUUCUGCAAAUACUACAAGCAUUUUUCUGAAGUCAUCCAAUGCUACCUGCCCUCACUUGAUCAAGAAAAAUAUAGAACUUUCUUACUCAACUGAUACGCCUAUCAGGUAAUUGCCACCGGCUUGGUAUUGACAAUCACUCAAAUGCUAAGCAAGCAUGGUGUUGUUCGAAAGUUUGUUGAAUUUUACGGUAAAUUUUAAUGUUUGUUGUGAUGACUAUAUAUGUGAAAUGUUGGUAUUUGUUGUGACAUGGUUGCACAACUUGCACAAGAAAUUCUAAGGAUUUGGAUGAAUCAGUUGAUGAAUCUACUA